CCCUUAGAUGUUCUGGGCCGCACGCGCGCUACACUGAUGAAUUCAACGAGCUCCUAACCUAGGCCGAAGGGCCUGGGUAAUCUUUGAAAUUUCAUCGUGAUGGGGAUAGAUUAUUGCAAUUAUUAAUCUUCAACGAGGAAUUCCUAGUAAGCGCGAGUCAUCAGCUCGCGUUGAUUACGUCCCUGCCCUUUGUACACACCGCCCGUCGCUCCUACCGAUUGAAUGGUCCGGUGAAAUGUUCGGACCGCGACAAGGCGGACGGUUCGCUGUCAGCUUUGCUGCGGGAAGUUCAUUAAACCUUAUCAUUUAGAGGAAGGAGAAGUCGUAACA
Molecule: ribosomal RNA, 330 nt
Filed under: uncultured eukaryote
Lineage: Eukaryota
Description: partial 18S ribosomal RNA
Rfam family: Eukaryotic small subunit ribosomal RNA
Source: RNAcentral